GCAGCCUCGACAAUGAAGCAACGGAGGACUGCCUCACUCUCGGACCACCCGUAAUUCCCCAAUUAAUUUUCUCGGCCACAACCCACAGCUCCCCACCCCCUCCGCAGCACCUAGCCUAGAUUCACCCCUAUGGCCCUACCCCGUGCGGGCGCCAGAGGAGGAGCUGGAACAUGGCGGCAAGGCUUCAGCCGGAGGAGCGCGCAUACAAAGGGGUUCUGCUAGCGGCGGCCCACGAGUGGUGCUCCAUGGAUGUGGCUGCUCGAUGCCUAUCCGUCGGGAUGCCAUGGGAGUGGCGAACCUCGACGAUGACUGCAGGGCGACGAAGGCCCCGAUUGGUUUGGGAAUGCUGCCCUCCCCUGCCCCCUCCCAACACCGGCCAGCUAGGUCACCUAGAAGUGAGUAGGGUGAGCAGUGGCGGCGGACGCGGAUAGUUGGAGGAAGGACCUGAUUAAUUUGGCAUACGCCUCUUACCUAAGACUGCUACCACCAUAUAGGUGUGAUCUUUCUGCUUCUCUGUUUGAUUUCAUUUACCCCUCUAUUCCUUCUUACACAUCUCCAUUCUUUCAGGUUUGCAUCUGUUCUAGAGGAGCAGGAGGAAGAAGAUGAGUUUCUUGGAGUUUAGGUGACUGCCAAUGGAGUAGGGUGGAUGCCUGCCAUUUAGUUUAUACGAUGUCUUCAUUCUCAGUGUGUGGCAUGUUGCAGGAACAGGUGGAGGCGUCACGGUGGUGGGUUCAAGUUGAGCACACUCUCGAUCAGCAUGAGUUCUGAUGACACGAGGAUUAUAUACAACUCAGAGAACAACAUGGAGCGGUGGACGCUGUCCAGUGCAACCAAGUCGGCGAGCAUGUCAGUUUUCUCCGGCCAUCACCUCGCCCGUGCGCCCCGACCCCCUUACCUGUGUUGCUCUUUUUGCAAACGAUUGAGUGAAGAUAUUUACAUCUGCAGCUGCUAUGGUUCUCUGAUUUUUUUCGCUGAAAUCAUGUCUACCACGUCGCUCCAUUAUUUUUGCACGGUCUGCUCUUUUUUUCUAGAUUGACAUGCUGGUUAGGUUAUUUGUCUGAUCGAAGGCAACACGUUAAUAACGGUCUGAUCUUUUUAUUUAGAUUUACGUGCUGGUUAGGUUAUUUCUCUGAUCGAAGGCAACAAGUUAAUAUCUCGUAAUACUUAUUACUGUUAGCUAUGAACAGUUUAUUACUUGGUCAGUCUUCUAGGGGUACAUACAAUGUUGACAUUUUUGUUUCAUCAGUGAGUUAUCGCUUGACUGUAUGUGUGCUAAAUACUCUUGCCUGCAAAUACUGCAACAAGCAGAACACAGGUUAUGGACUCUUAUGUUUGACAUUCCAGUAGCCACUCUUAUGUGUGCUGAAACCCUUUCAGGCUACUAUGCUCUAAUAAAAAGAUUUUCUCCAAUGUUUGGUGUUCAGAUCAUACUUUGUUUCACUGUGUUUUACAGGUCUAUGCCUGAAGAUUGUGAACUUUAUGUUUGAGGUAUGAUGCCAUGAAGCUUUUCCUCCAUACAUUUUGUUUGAGGAACUAUACAUUCCAAAUUAAUGAUAAUUUUCUAAAAUACUAACAUUAGUUGAGCAGAGUUGACGCAUCAGUUCUUGCAGUUUCAGAGUUUUUCUUGGAAGGUUGGUGGACCAAAACAUGCGGUUCUUGACAAGGUAUAGCAUAGCCUGCCGCCGGUUGCAGGUCUCUGACGACAAAUAUUAGGAGCUGGAGAAGGAAAUGGAGAACUGUUAAAAUAAGGCGACAUGAGGACCUGAUGAUGUGACAGAACUGAAGUUGGUCUAUGGUUUUAGUAGAAUGCUGUCGUAGGAUGAGUGCUCGCUCUUGUAGCACCGCAGCCCUUUCGAUGCUCGAAUGCAUGCACAGAAAAUUAUAGAUAUGUUUUCAUCUGACGAGGAGGACACUGGCACAGGCGCAAUGUACUGAUGAUCUCCAGGUCAAUCAUCUGCAGAAACACAACACAGACGCAAGGAAAGAGGGCGAUGCAGGGGCAAGUCAAGGGCGAUCCACCUUCUUCUCCCGCUGGCGCUGCUCCUCCCUAGCAAGGAUGGCGCGGUGGCAUGCUGUGCCCGUGAUGCUAAUUUUCUAACAUAAGUACUCCCGGCCUAGAUAGAUUUCUGAAUAAUUAUAAAGCUUCAUGUAAUGUGCACUUCCAUUGAAAAAGAGUCCAGAACAUACUGAAGUUUUUUCCAUAGUAUACAUAGUCUUAUUCAUUAUUUCAGUAUGGUGGUGUAGUAGAUGAUAGGAUUUAUUUUCUCACUACAUAUUAUGUCCACGUUGCCAGUUCAAGGCUGCUUCCUUA
Molecule: long non-coding RNA, 2311 nt
Organism: Lolium perenne
Lineage: Eukaryota; Viridiplantae; Streptophyta; Magnoliopsida; Poales; Poaceae
Source: RefSeq, a predicted model, not a curated record